GAUGAACGCUGGCGGCGUGCUUAACACAUGCAAGUCGAACGAGAAGUGGAGACGGAAACCUUCGGGCGGAAGACUUUAUUUCGAGUGGCGGACGGGUGAGUAACGCGUGGGUAACCUGCCUCAUACAGGGGGAUAACAGUUGGAAACGACUGUUAAUACCGCAUAAGACCACAGCACCGCAUGGUGCGGGGGUAAAAACUCCGGUGGUAUGAGAUGGACCCGCGUUCGAUUAGCCAGUUGGCGGGGUAACGGCCCACCAAAGCGACGAUCGAUAGCCGAUCUGAGAGGAUGACCGGCCACAUUGGGACUGAGACACGGCCCAAACUCCUACGGGAGGCAGCAGUGGGGAAUAUUGCACAAUGGGGGAAACCCUGAUGCAGCGACGCCGCGUGAGUGAAGAAGUAUUUCGGUAUGUAAAGCCCUAUCAGCAGGGAAGAAAAUGACGGUACCUGAGUAAGAAGCCCCGGCUAACUACGUG
RNAcentral lists this ribosomal RNA (478 nucleotides) under uncultured bacterium. Its description in RNAcentral is "partial 16S ribosomal RNA". It matches the Rfam family "Bacterial small subunit ribosomal RNA", at positions 28 to 507 of the family's 1533-position model. The record is from RNAcentral.